This 906-nucleotide ribosomal RNA is filed under the name Paraphaeosphaeria neglecta. RNAcentral describes it as "eukaryotic LSU rRNA". It matches the Rfam family "Eukaryotic large subunit ribosomal RNA", at positions 38 to 961 of the family's 3401-position model. Lineage: Eukaryota; Fungi; Ascomycota; Dothideomycetes; Pleosporales; Didymosphaeriaceae. The record is from RNAcentral.
GCAUAUCAAUAAGCGGAGGAAAAGAAACCAACAGGGAUUGCCCUAGUAACGGCGAGUGAAGCGGCAACAGCUCAAAUUUGAAAUCUGGCUCUCUUUGGGGGUCCGAGUUGUAAUUUGCAGAGGAUGCUUUGGCAUUGGCGGCGGUCUAAGUUCCUUGGAACAGGACAUCACAGAGGGUGAGAAUCCCGUACGUGGUCGCCUGCCCUUGCCGUGUAAAGCUCCUUCGACGAGUCGAGUUGUUUGGGAAUGCAGCUCUAAAUGGGAGGUAAAUUUCUUCUAAAGCUAAAUACUGGCCAGAGACCGAUAGCGCACAAGUAGAGUGAUCGAAAGAUGAAAAGUACUUUGGAAAGAGAGUCAAAAAGCACGUGAAAUUGUUGAAAGGGAAGCGCUUGCAGCCAGACUUGCCCGCAGUUGCUCACCUAGGCUUUCGCCUGGGGCACUCUUCUGCGGGCAGGCCAGCAUCAGUUUGGGCGGUUGGAUAAAGGCCUCUGUCACGUAUCUCCCUUCGGGGUGACCUUAUAGGGGAGGCGCAAUGCAACCAGCCCGGACUGAGGUCCGCGCAUCUGCUAGGAUGCUGGCGUAAUGGCUGUAAGCGGCCCGUCUUGAAACACGGACCAAGGAGUCUAACAUCUAUGCGAGUGUUUGGGUGUCAAGCCCGAGCGCGCAAUGAAAGUGAACGGAGGUGGGAACCCUUUGGGUGCACCAUCGACCGAUCCUGAUGUCUUCGGAUGGAUUUGAGUAAGAGCAUAGCUGUUGGGACCCGAAAGAUGGUGAACUAUGCUUGAAUAGGGUGAAGCCAGAGGAAACUCUGGUGGAGGCUCGCAGCGGUUCUGACGUGCAAAUCGAUCGUCAAAUUUGGGCAUAGGGGCGAAAGACUAAUCGAACCAUCUAGUAGCUGGUUCCUGC